GAUUCUCGACAACGGAUAUCUCGGCUCAUGUAUCGAUGAAGAACGUAGCAAAAUGCGAUACUUGGUGUGAAUUGCAUAAUCCCGUGAACCAUCGAGUUUUUGAACGCAAAUUGCGCCCGAAGCCAUCCGGUUGAAGGCACGUCUGCCUGGGCGCCA
This 156-nucleotide ribosomal RNA is filed under the name Helianthus annuus (common sunflower). RNAcentral describes it as "sRNA HanXRQr2_Chr06g0273691". It matches the Rfam family "5.8S ribosomal RNA". From Rfam's summary of the family: 5.8S ribosomal RNA (5.8S rRNA) is a component of the large subunit of the eukaryotic ribosome. The record is from Rfam by way of RNAcentral. Lineage: Eukaryota; Viridiplantae; Streptophyta; Magnoliopsida; Asterales; Asteraceae.